Molecule: long non-coding RNA, 563 nt
Organism: Paramisgurnus dabryanus
Lineage: Eukaryota; Metazoa; Chordata; Actinopteri; Cypriniformes; Cobitidae
Source: RefSeq, a predicted model, not a curated record
AAAUAUUAUUAUUGUUUUUAUUUAGGUAUCUUACUCUGUAUUUGUUCACGGUGGUCACCCCAGGGUCUCAGGACUCAAAUUGAGUGCUCUAUGGAUUAAACAGAAAAUGCAGUAUAAACAAGUGUUAUGUUGUCUUGAACAUGUUGGUAACUUACUCUGUAUUUGUUCACGGUGGUCACCCCAGGGUCUCAGGACUCAAAACGAGUGCUCUAUGGAUUGAAUAUAAAAUGUAGUAUAAACAAGUGUUAUGUUUUUAAAUGCCACUAAUAAUGUGUUUCUGUUUUCUUUCUCAUUAUGCUAACAAACACUCUUUUACCCCUCAUGUUAGGUAGAUCAACACUCCAACCAUCUGCAUUAGGGACUGAAUAAAGGAUGCCCUCUGUAGCUGGGAAUGUUAGAUCAGGCGGAUCAACAUUCCAUCCAUCUGCAUUAGGAUCUACCUUAGAGACACUCACUGGAGCUGUAAAUGGGAAGCAGGUCACUUACUUUGCAUUCGUCCUUGGUGGUCACCCCAGGGUCUCUAGAGUGAAAAUUACUCAAUCUAUGGAUUAAACAGAAAAUGU